AGCAGCCGCGGUAAUUCCAGCUCCAAUAGCGUAUAUUAAAGUUGCUGCAGUUAAAAAGCUCGUAGUUGAAUUUCGGGACCAUCAUGUUGGUCGUGCCUCGGUACGUACUGGCAUUGUUGGUUUCUCCCUUCUGACGAACCAUGAUGUCAUUUAUUUGGUGUCGUGGGAAAUCAGGACUGUUACUUUGAAAAAAGUUAGAGUGUUUAAAGCAGGCUCACGCUUGAAUACAUUAGCAUGGAAUAAUGAAAUAGGACGUUUGAUUCUAUUUUGUUGGUUUCUAGGAUCGACGUAAUGAUUAAUAGGGAUAGUUGGGGGCAUUAGUAUUCAAUUGUCAGAGGUGAAAUUCUUGGAUUUAUUGAAGGCUAACUACUGCGAAAGCAUUUGCCAAGGAUGUUUUCAUUAAUCAAGAACGAAAGUUAGGGGAUCGAAGACGAUCAGAUACCGUCGUAGUCUUAACCAUAAACUAUGCCGACUAGGGAUCGGAUGAUGUUAAUUUUUUAAUGACUCAUUCGGCGCCUUA
This 520-nucleotide unclassified non-coding RNA is filed under the name uncultured Glomus. RNAcentral's name for it is "SSU rRNA". It matches the Rfam family "Eukaryotic small subunit ribosomal RNA", at positions 569 to 1090 of the family's 1831-position model. The record is from RNAcentral. Lineage: Eukaryota; Fungi; Glomeromycota; Glomeromycetes; Glomerales; Glomeraceae.